AUGAAGAUAGCGACUUGCAUUCGUAAGGUGGCCUCGGAGGAGUUUGGAGUGUCCAGGGGAAGGAGAAGCGAAGAUAAGGAUACCUGGUGGUGGAAUGAUGAUAUCCAGAAGGCGCUUAAAGAGAAGAAAGAUUGCUUCAGACGCCUAUACCUGGAUAGGAGUGCAGACAACAUAGAGAAGUACAAGAUGGCGAAGAAGGCCGCAAAGCGAGCUGUUGGUGAAGCAAGGGGUCGGGCAUAUGAGGACCUCUACCAACGGUUAGGCACGAAGGAAGGUGAAAGGGACAUCUAUAAGAUGGCUAAGAUCCAGGAGAGGAAGACGAGGGAUAUUGGCCAAGUCAAAUGCAUCAAGGACGGAGCAGGCCAACUCUUGGUGAAGGACGAAGAGAUUAAGCAUAGAUGGCGGGAGUACUUCGACAAGCUAUUCAAUGGGGAGAAUGAGAGUUCUACCAUUGAAUUGAAUGACUCCUUUGAUGAGACCAGCAUGCGUUUUGUGCGGCGCAUCCAGGAGUCUGAGGUGAAGGAGGCUUUAAAAAGGAUGAAAGGAGGCAAGGCGAUGGGCCCUGAUUGUAUCCCCAUUGAGGUGUGGAAAGGUCUCGGGGACAUAGCGAUAGUAUGGCUAACCAAGCUUUUCAACCUCAUUUUUCGGGCAAACAAGAUGCCAGAAGAAUGGAGACGGAGUAUAUUAGUACCAAUCUUCAAGAACAAGGGGGAUGUUCAGAGUUGUACUAAUUACCGUGGAAUUAAGCUGAUGAGCCAUACAAUGAAGCUAUGGGAGAGAGUCAUUGAGCACCGCUUAAGAAGAAUGACAAGCGUGACCAAAAAUCAGUUUGGUUUCAUGCCUGGGAGGUCGACCAUGGAAGCCAUUUUCUUGGUACGACAACUUAUGGAGAGAUAUAGGGAGCAUAAAAAGGACUUGCAUAUGGUGUUCAUUGACUUGGAGAAGGCCUAUGAUAAGAUACCGCGGAAUGUCAUGUGGUGGGCCUUGGAGAAACACAAAGUCCCAGCAAAGUACAUUACCCUCAUCAAGGACAUGUACAAUAAUGUUGUGACAAGUGUUCGAACAAGUGAUGUCGACACCGAUGACUUCCCGAUUAAGAUAGGACUGCAUCAGGGGUCAGCUUUGAGCCCUUAUCUUUUUGCAUUGGUGAUGGAUGAGGUCACAAGGGGUAUACAAGGAGAUAUCCCAUGGUGUAUGCUCUUUGCGUAUGAUGUGGUGCUAGUUGACGAUAGUCGGACGGGGGUAAAUAGGAAGUUAGAGUUAUGGAGACAAACCUUGGAAUCGAAAGGGUUUAGGCUUAGUAGAACUAAAACCGAGUACAUGAUGUGCGGUUUCAGUACUACUAGCUGUGAGGAGGAGGAGGUUAGCCUUGAUGGCCAGGUGGUACCUCGAAAGGACACCUUUCGGUAUUUGGGGUCAAUGUUGCAGGAGGAUGGGGGUAUUGAUGAAGAUGUGAACCAUCGAAUCAAAGCCGGAUGGAUGAAGUGGCGCCAAGCUUCUGGCAUUCUCUGUGACAAGAGAGUGCCACAAAAGCUAAAAGGCAAGUUCUACAGGACGGCGGUUCGACCCGCAAUGUUGUAUGGCGCGGAGUGUUGGCCGACUAAAAGGCGACAUGUUCAACAGUUAGGUGUGGCGGAGAUGCGUAUGUUGAGAUGGAUGUGUGGCCACACGAGGAAGGAUCGAGUCCGGAAUGAUGAUAUACGAGAUAGAGUUGGGGUAGCACCAAUUGAGGAGAAGCUUGCCCAACAUCGUUUGAGAUGGUUUGGGCAUAUUCAGCGCAGGCCUCCAGAAGCUCCAGUGCAUAGCGGACGGCGAAAGCAUGCGGAGAAUGUCAAGAGAGGGCGGGGUCGACCGAUUUUGACAUGGGAGGAGUCCGUUAAGAGAGACCUGAAGGAUUGGAGUAUCGACAAAGAGCUAGCUAUGGACAGGGGUGCGUGGAAGCUUGCUAUCCAUGUGCCAGAGCCA
RNAcentral lists this ribosomal RNA (1965 nucleotides) under Triticum aestivum (bread wheat). RNAcentral describes it as "partial small subunit ribosomal RNA". The record is from RNAcentral. Lineage: Eukaryota; Viridiplantae; Streptophyta; Magnoliopsida; Poales; Poaceae.